CGGAGGGUGCGAGCGUUGUCCGGAAUCACUGGGCGUAAAGGGCGUGUAGGCGGCUGGAUAAGCCGCGUGUGAAAUCCCGGGGCUCAACCCCGGAACGGCACGCGGGACUGUUCGGCUAGAGAAUGGUAGAGGCAAGUGGAAUUCCUGGUGUAGCGGUGGAAUGCGUAGAGAUCAGGAAGAACACCGGUGGCGAAGGCGGCUUGCUGGGCCAUUUCUGACGCUGAGGCGCGAAAGCGUGGGGAGCAAACAGGAUUAGAUACCCUGGUAGUCCACGCUGUAAACGAUGGGUGCUAGGCGUCGGGGGGAGCGACCCUCCCGGUGCCGUCGCUAACGCAAUAAGCACCCCGCCUGGGGAGUACGGCCGUAAGGUUG
This 372-nucleotide ribosomal RNA is filed under the name uncultured organism. RNAcentral describes it as "bacterial SSU rRNA". It matches the Rfam family "Bacterial small subunit ribosomal RNA", at positions 526 to 896 of the family's 1533-position model. The record is from RNAcentral.